AAUAUUACUUCAAAACAUUAAAACACAUUUGUCGUUUAAGUACUACAUCUACACUCGAAAAUAAGAGCCUAAUAAAAAAAUAAUACAUACACUACUAAUCUAUUACAAAUUUUAAAUGUGCAAGGAUAUGCAAAAUGAAACAGUUUUUGUUUUCAAGGUUGUGAAAUCUUUCUCAAAAGUUUAAACCUCAAUUUACAAAAUCCUCGAUUUACAUCGAUCAUCAUGAAAUUGCAUUGGAACUUUGGCUUGAUCUAUUGCCUUCAAUAGUUAUGUUGAUGAUGUUUUCAAUAAGGUUUUCCACGUCAUAACUAUCUUCUGCAUAAACUAAGCAUAGAAAAAACCAAACAUUAAAAAUCAUUCAAAUUAUGAGAAGUUUACCAAAAUAAUUAUGAAAAAAAAUAAAACA
Molecule: long non-coding RNA, 406 nt
Filed under: Malus domestica (apple)
Lineage: Eukaryota; Viridiplantae; Streptophyta; Magnoliopsida; Rosales; Rosaceae
Description: long non-coding RNA (MDOM_LNC011967)
Source: RNAcentral